GACGAACGCUGGCGGCGUGCUUAACACAUGCAAGUCGAACGGAAAGGCCCCUUUGGGGGUACUCGAGUGGCGAACGGGCGAGUAACACGUGAGUAACCUGCCCUUGACUUCGGGAUAACUUCAGGAAACUGGGGCUAAUACCGGCUAGGAAUCCUUGCUGCAUGGAGGGGGUUGGAAAGAUUCGGUGGUUUGGGAUGGACUCGCGGCCUAUUAGCUUGUUUGUGGGGUAGUGGCUUACCAAGGCUUUGACGGGUAGCCGGCCUGAGGGGGCGACCGGCCAAAUUGGGACUGGGGAACGGCCCAGGCUCCUACGGGGGGGAACAGGGGGGAAUAUUUCAAAAAGGGCGGAAGCCUGAUGCAACAACGCCGCGGGCGGGAUGACGGCCUUCGGGUUGUAAACCGCUUUCAGCAGGGGCGAAGCUUGUAGUGACGGUACCUGCAGAAGAAGCACCGGCUAACUACGUG
RNAcentral lists this ribosomal RNA (465 nucleotides) under uncultured bacterium. RNAcentral describes it as "partial 16S ribosomal RNA". It matches the Rfam family "Bacterial small subunit ribosomal RNA", at positions 28 to 507 of the family's 1533-position model. The record is from RNAcentral.